This 1424-nucleotide long non-coding RNA is filed under the name Chelonus insularis. Its description in RNAcentral is "uncharacterized LOC118067285, transcript variant X1". The record is from RNAcentral. Lineage: Eukaryota; Metazoa; Arthropoda; Insecta; Hymenoptera; Braconidae.
UAAGAUAUAUUGCAAUUAUUAUACAUAGCAAUUAUUAUAUACAUUAGCCUCAACUCUGAAGAUAUUCUAAUCAGUAUAAUUAAUUAAUCUGCAAAUUACAUCACAGCAAUUAGGUGAAAUUGUUAACAAUAUUAUUCACCAAUUUCUAAAAAGCGAAUCUUUAUAUAUUCACCUGAGUAAAAUGGCUAAUGAUAGGUAUUAGUAAUAAUUGGUGCUAAUGACGUAAAGAUGAUUUUUAUAAAGAAUCUACCACCGCAUACUUCUGGAAAUAAACAACAGUAAAUUGAGCUCUAAAGCUAGAGAGUUAGCUCAUGAGCUAAUUGUAACUGCAAGUGGAAUUCAUUUACCCAAAGUAGCUAUUAAAUGAGCAAGUGAGGAUAAAAUCAAUAUACAGGAUAAAAUCAAAGCAGUUUUGUGGUUAAUUUGGAACAAGUAUGGCUGUCGCAUUAAAAAAAAAAAACAACAUUCGAAACAAACAUGAAGAAAAGUGUCGACGAGUUCCCCUUGCAUGUUGACACGGAUAAGCUGAAAAUGUAUAACGAUGCAUCUGUUAGGUUGAUAUAUAACAACUAAAAACAGAGCAGAUCAUUAGAAGUAACAGACACCUGAGUAAAGACGGAAGCUCGUUAUCUGAAUCUGUUUGGUAUAAUUUAGUUGCUCUCUUCACUAUUUUUUAUUGUCUCUCCGCCUUUUCACAUUUUGCUUUGAUUGUGUACUUUGGAAACUUCGAGGAUGAAUUGCUCUGUAAAAUGAAAUCCAACGAAAUGUCUUAAAGCUAAAUUUAAUCAAAAAAACAAUCAAUACAAUUUUGAAUAUUUACUGACGAUGGAAUCUAAGAGACUAAAAAGUUUAAUGAAAGAAAAAAAGCUGGCACUGAGUCAUAAUUUCAUAUUUUCAUGGAGUUGCGAAACUUUAAUGACAGACUGUGGGUCGGUUAACCAUUAAUUUAUUGUGGACAGGGUGUAAAGUACUUCUAGAAGGACAUACUUUUUAUAGUAGUUUAUUACGUUUGUAUAAAUAUUUAUGAAGUAAAAGCUAUCAAAAGAGAAAUUUAAUAUGCUUUAAAUCUCUAACUGGAAUGUAGUAAGAUCCUUCCUCAUAGUCUGUAAGAAGUAUUUAUUUUUUAAUUACUUUAUUACAUUAUACCAAAAUUGUACGUGCUUUGCGGUUGAAAAUUUACUACGGAGUAUUAAUUUUCUAUCAUAUCUGAAACUUGAGAAAGAUGAACCUACCACAGAAUAUGAUAGUCUGGAAUCUGUACUAAUUCCAGUAAAUGGAUAAGCGAAUGUAAUUAGCAUAAUCUCGGAAACAUUAUCAACUGAUCAAUGUAUGCGCAGAAUUAUUACAGCUUUAUUAAUAUGCAGUUAGUUUGUAUCAUUGAUAUUCAUGAAAAUAUGUAAAAAUAAAAAUGUAAAAGAACUUCA